RNAcentral lists this ribosomal RNA (253 nucleotides) under uncultured bacterium. RNAcentral's name for it is "partial 16S ribosomal RNA". It matches the Rfam family "Bacterial small subunit ribosomal RNA", at positions 524 to 776 of the family's 1533-position model. The record is from RNAcentral.
UACGUAGGGGCAAGCGUUGUCCGGAUUUAUUGGGCGUAAAGAGCUCGUAGGCGGCUCGGUAAGUCGGAUGUGAAACCUCCAGGCUCAACCUGGAGACGCCAUCUGAUACUGCCGUGGCUUGAGUCCGGUAGAGGAGCAGGGAAUUCCUGGUGUAGCGGUGAAAUGCGCAGAUAUCGAGAGGAACACCUGCGGCGAAGGCGGGUGGCUGGGCCGACACUGACGCUGAGGCGCGAAAGCCAGGGGAGCGAACGGG